GCCUGGCUGCGGGGAGUGGGUGCGGCGGGAGUUGGGGUGAUCGUUAACAUUUAGACUGGAGCUGUUUCCCUGGAGGUGCGCCCUUGGGAAGGGCCUGACUGUGUGAAGAGUGGACAGCAGUCCUCCGCCCCCUGCUGGGCUCGCGGUAAAGUGGUGGCUCCUGUGUCCCCGCUGUUCCGCCUGUGCACUGGCCAACUUUUUAAAGCCAUGCCCCAAAGUGCUGUCCUCCUGCAAAACCGAGCCCGAAGGGACAGUGCAAAGUGAAGUCAAACUGAGUAUUUACCUGGAGAUGUAGCCUAAGAAAAUAAUCAGAUGCACCCAAAGAGCUUUGCACAAGGAUAUUCAUGGGAGCCCUUAUGGUUUUGAAGCAUAUUUAGUGGUCUGGAAGAGUGCUCAUAAUGCGAAGCUAACUGAACUAUAUAUACAGAAUGAUCCAGACUUUGAAAGGAAAAACUAAAGAAAUACAUCUACAUAUUAAGUAGUGCAUGGCCCCAGAUGAGACCACCCUAAAGGAGCUGGCCGAGACCCUGCAACAGAAGAACAUUGACCACAUGCUGUGGCUUGAGCAACCAGAGAAUAUCGCCACUUGUAUUGCUCUCCGGCCCUACCCCAAGGAAGAAGUGGGCCAGUAUUUGAAGAAGUUCCGAUUGUUCAAAUAACUGCUGCUUUGAUGUGUUUGAAUACCAGCUGGAUCUGGAAACAGCAGGCCACCCAUUCCAAAGCAUCAUGUGUUCCUUGCAGUGUCAGCUUGCUCCCGUCUUUCAGUUGUGACAAUUUCUUGAGGGUUAAGCACAUGUUCAUAUUAAAGUUGUCAUUAAUAACUACUUCCUCUUAUUAGUAAGUUCAAGUGGGGAAGGUGGGAGAGCAGUAUUGUCUGGGGAUC
This 883-nucleotide small RNA is filed under the name Pan troglodytes (chimpanzee). RNAcentral describes it as "processed transcript". The record is from RNAcentral. Lineage: Eukaryota; Metazoa; Chordata; Mammalia; Primates; Hominidae.